Molecule: ribosomal RNA, 253 nt
Filed under: uncultured bacterium
Lineage: Bacteria
Description: partial 16S ribosomal RNA
Rfam family: Bacterial small subunit ribosomal RNA
Source: RNAcentral
UACGAAGGGUGCAAGCGUUAAUCGGAAUUACUGGGCGUAAAGCGCGCGUAGGGGGUUCAGUAAGUUGGAAGUGAAAUCCCCGGGCUCAACCUGGGAACUGCUUUCAAAACUGCUGAGCUAGAGUACGGUAGAGGGUGGUGGAAUUUCCUGUGUAGCGGUGAAAUGCGUAGAUAUAGGAAGGAACACCAGUGGCGAAGGCGACCACCUGGACUGAUACUGACACUGAGGUGCGAAAGCGUGGGGAGCAAACAGG